RNAcentral lists this ribosomal RNA (467 nucleotides) under uncultured bacterium. RNAcentral describes it as "bacterial SSU rRNA". It matches the Rfam family "Bacterial small subunit ribosomal RNA", at positions 33 to 507 of the family's 1533-position model. The record is from RNAcentral.
ACGACGCUGGCGGCGUGCUUAACACAUGCAAGUCGAACGGAAAGGCCCUGCUUUUGUGGGGUGCUCGAGUGGCGAACGGGUGAGUAACACGUGAGUAACCUGCCCUUGACUUUGGGAUAACUUCAGGAAACUGGGGCUAAUACCGGAUAGGAGCUCCUGCUGCAUGGUGGGGGUUGGAAAAGUUUCGGCGGUUGGGGAUGGACUCGCGGCUUAUCAGCUUGUUGGUGGGGUAGUGGCUUACCAAGGCUUUGACGGGUAGCCGGCCUGAGAGGGUGACCGGCCACAUUGGGACUGAGAUACGGCCCAGACUCCUACGGGAGGCAGCAGUGGGGAAUAUUGCACAAUGGGCGGAAGCCUGAUGCAGCAACGCCGCGUGCGGGAUGACGGCCUUCGGGUUGUAAACCGCUUUCGCCUGUGACGAAGCGUGAGUGACGGUAAUGGGUAAAGAAGCACCGGCUAACUACGUG